AUGAUGUACAACACCAUCCUAA
RNAcentral lists this small nuclear RNA (22 nucleotides) under Arabidopsis thaliana (thale cress). RNAcentral's name for it is "snRNA_15200". Lineage: Eukaryota; Viridiplantae; Streptophyta; Magnoliopsida; Brassicales; Brassicaceae. The record is from RNAcentral.